Molecule: long non-coding RNA, 318 nt
Filed under: Ricinus communis (castor bean)
Lineage: Eukaryota; Viridiplantae; Streptophyta; Magnoliopsida; Malpighiales; Euphorbiaceae
Description: long non-coding RNA (RCOM_LNC000913)
Source: RNAcentral
GUCAAAUUUCUCUAAGUUUACUGACCUCAUAGUUUUCCCUUUUAGAUUCACUUGACGCUGUUAGGUUAUAAUAAUAAAAAAUAAAAAAUUAACUAACCCUUUUAAAACUAUGAAUAGAGAAGAAAGUGAAUAUUAAUUAAUUAUUUUAAUUAGAUAUUCAAAUUAGUUUGUAUUAAACAUAAAAUUUUAACAAUAUUAAUUUUGAACGAGCGUGAUACAUAGUAAUAAAUUUAAAGAUAGUAAAUUAUCAAUUUAGUCCUUUUAAUUAGUUUAUUAAAACUAAAGAGAGUUUCGAUAUAUAAUGAAAUAAAUACAAAU